RNAcentral lists this long non-coding RNA (418 nucleotides) under Ananas comosus (pineapple). RNAcentral's name for it is "long non-coding RNA (ACOM_LNC043487)". Lineage: Eukaryota; Viridiplantae; Streptophyta; Magnoliopsida; Poales; Bromeliaceae. The record is from RNAcentral.
CUGAUACCAACUUAGGGCCAGUUUGGAUGCACAGUAAAAAAAUCUCCACGGAAUUUAUAAACUGUGGUUUUGGUCCAAAUGAAAUAGGGAAUCCCGUAACUCUAAAAAAAUUUCACGAAUUCAAUUUUUAAACUAUUUAAAUGCACAUUGUGCAAUUUCACGGAAUUUCUCUAAAUUUUAAAAUUAAAAGUAAAAAUUUCAAAUUUUAAAUUUCAAAUUUUUAUGAAAUUUAAAAUUAAAAUUUGAUAUGUGAAAUAUGAAAUUUUAAAUUUUAAAUUUUAAAAUUUUAAAAUUAAAAAUUUAAAAUAUAAAAAUCUAAAUUUAAUUUUAAAAUUUUGAAAUUUAAAAUUUUAAAAUAAAAAUUUUAAAUUUUAAAUUUUAAAUUUUAAAAAUAAAUUUAAAUUUUAAAGUUCAAAUU